AUGGUUGUGCUAGGUGCUUGGAUCCUUUGGGCUCACCGCAAUGCAUGUGUGUUUGACGAAGCGACUCCAAGCAUGGUAAGAGCGCUGAACACUGCCGGCAAUGAGCGGCGUCCUUGGGAGAUUGCGGGCGCAUGGGGCCUCUCUUUCUUGACUGCCCCGGCCCUUGGAGCUUAG
This 174-nucleotide ribosomal RNA is filed under the name Triticum aestivum (bread wheat). Its description in RNAcentral is "partial small subunit ribosomal RNA". The record is from RNAcentral. Lineage: Eukaryota; Viridiplantae; Streptophyta; Magnoliopsida; Poales; Poaceae.